GUGGGGAAUCUUGCGCAAUGGGCGAAAGCCUGACGCAGCCAUGCCGCGUGAAUGAUGAAGGUCUUAGGAUUGUAAAAUUCUUUCACCGGGGACGAUAAUGACGGUACCCGGAGAAGAAGCUCCGGCUAACUUCGUGCCAGUAGCCGCGGUAAUACGAAGGGGGCUAGCGUUGCUCGGAAUUACUGGGCGUAAAGGGCGCGUAGGCGGACAGCUUAGUCAGAGGUGAAAGCCCAGGGCUCAACCUUGGAAUUGCCUUUGAUACUGGCUGUCUUGAGUUUGGUAGAGGUGAGUGGAACUCCGAGUGUAGAGGUGAAAUUCGUAGAUAUUCGGAAGAACACCAGUGGCGAAGGCGACUCACUGGCCCAAUACUGACGCUGAGGCGCGAAAGCGUGGGGAGCAAACAGGAUUAGAUACCCGGGUAGUCC
RNAcentral lists this ribosomal RNA (425 nucleotides) under uncultured bacterium. Its description in RNAcentral is "partial 16S ribosomal RNA". It matches the Rfam family "Bacterial small subunit ribosomal RNA", at positions 354 to 796 of the family's 1533-position model. The record is from RNAcentral.